This 341-nucleotide unclassified non-coding RNA is filed under the name Hevea brasiliensis (rubber tree). Lineage: Eukaryota; Viridiplantae; Streptophyta; Magnoliopsida; Malpighiales; Euphorbiaceae. The record is from RNAcentral.
ACAAGUUAGGAAGAUUCAUCACUGAAUCAGGUAUAACACCAGUAAAAUCAUUAUCCCUUAACUGCAAAUCAGAUAUACUUUCACAUUUCGACAAAUCGGGUAUAGGACCAGUAAAAGAAUUAGCAUGUAACCACACUUGUGACAACUGAACCAUACUUGAAAUCACAUCAAUAGUUCCUGAUAACCCUUUAACCUGAUUAUUCAGCCAUAAAUUCUUAAUCUCAGAAUCCCCAAAACUAGCAGGCAAAGAACCAGUAAAAUUAUUAUAAGACAAUCUCAAAUCCUGAAGAUUAGGGAAUUUACCAAGAAAAUCAGGUAUAACACCAAACAAACUAGCAUUA